GGCCUAAUGGCCCAAUGGCAAGGCGCUUGACUACGAUUCACAUCUGCAAUCAAGAGAUUCCAGGUUCGACCCCUGGUUAGGUCA
This is a transfer RNA of Stagonospora sp., 84 nucleotides long. It matches the Rfam family "tRNA". Rfam says of the family: Transfer RNA (tRNA) molecules are approximately 80 nucleotides in length. Their secondary structure includes four short double-helical elements and three loops (D, anti-codon, and T loops). Further hydrogen bonds mediate the characteristic L-shaped molecular structure. tRNAs have two regions of fundamental functional importance: the anti-codon, which is responsible for specific mRNA codon recognition, and the 3' end, to which the tRNAs corresponding amino acid is attached (by aminoacyl-tRNA synthetases). tRNAs cope with the degeneracy of the genetic code in two manners: having more than one tRNA (with a specific anti-codon) for a particular amino acid; and 'wobble' base-pairing, i.e. permitting non-standard base-pairing at the 3rd anti-codon position. The record is from Rfam. Lineage: Eukaryota; Fungi; Ascomycota; Dothideomycetes; Pleosporales; Massarinaceae.